UUAAGUUCAGCGGGUAUCCCUACCUGAUCCGAGGUCAACCUUAGAAAUGGGCUUGUUUUACGGCGUGACCUCCCGUGGCACCCUUUAGCGAAUAUUUUCCACAACGCUGAGGGGACAGAAGACCCAGCCGGUCGAUUUGAGGCGCGCGGCGGACCGCGUCGCCCAAUACCAAGCGAGGCUUGAGUGGUGAAAUGACGCUC
Molecule: unclassified non-coding RNA, 200 nt
Filed under: Cladosporium sp.
Lineage: Eukaryota; Fungi; Ascomycota; Dothideomycetes; Cladosporiales; Cladosporiaceae
Description: partial internal transcribed spacer 2
Source: RNAcentral